GACGAACGCUGGCGGCGUGCCUAAUACAUGCAAGUAGAACGCUGAAGAGAGGAGCUUGCUCUUCUUGGAUGAGUUGCGAACGGGUGAGUAACGCGUAGGUAACCUGCCUUGUAGCGGGGGAUAACUAUUGGAAACGAUAGCUAAUACCGCAUAACAAUGGAUGACCCAUGUCAUUUAUUUGAAAGGGGCAAAUGCUCCACUACAAGAUGGACCUGCGUUGUAUUAGCUAGUAGGUGAGGUAACGGCUCACCUAGGCGACGAUACAUAGCCGACCUGAGAGGGUGAUCGGCCACACUGGGACUGAGACACGGCCCAGACUCCUACGGGAGGCAGCAGUAGGGAAUCUUCGGCAAUGGGGGCAACCCUGACCGAGCAACGCCGCGUGAGUGAAGAAGGUUUUCGGAUCGUAAAGCUCUGUUGUAAGUCAAGAACGAGUGUGAGAGUGGAAAGUUCACACUGUGACGGUAGCUUACCAGAAAGGGACGGCUAACUACGC
This 496-nucleotide ribosomal RNA is filed under the name uncultured bacterium. RNAcentral's name for it is "partial 16S ribosomal RNA". It matches the Rfam family "Bacterial small subunit ribosomal RNA", at positions 28 to 506 of the family's 1533-position model. The record is from RNAcentral.